GAUGAACGCUGGCGGCGUGCUUAACACAUGCAAGUCGAACGGACAGUCGCCUGCUUGCAGGGGGACUCGAGUGGCGAACGAAUGAGUAACACGUGGGUGAUCUGCCCUGCACUUCGGGGUAAGCCUGGGACAAUGGGUCUAAUACCGGAUAGGACGAUGGUUCUGAUGCCAUUGUGGACAGAUUAUCGGUGUGGGAUGGGUUCGCGGCCUAUCAGGUAGUUGGUCGGGUAAUGGCCUACCAAGGCGUCGGCGGGUAGCCGGCCUGAGAGGGUAUACGGCCACCAUGGUACUGAGAGACGGAGCAGACUCCUAUGGGAGGCAGCAGUGGGGAAUAUUGCACAACGGCGGCAAGCCUGAGGCAGCGACGCCGCGUGGGUGAUGCCGGCCUUUGGGUGAUAAACUCCUUUCGCUAGGGACGAAGCGCAAGUGACGGUACCUGGAGAAGAAGCACCGGCUAACUACGUG
This 465-nucleotide ribosomal RNA is filed under the name uncultured bacterium. RNAcentral describes it as "partial 16S ribosomal RNA". It matches the Rfam family "Bacterial small subunit ribosomal RNA", at positions 28 to 507 of the family's 1533-position model. The record is from RNAcentral.